UCACCAUGGAUUGGGCUGCCGCUGUCUGGGAUAGUGAUAACUAGGAACACGCAUCUUACUCCUACUUCUAUUUCUCCCAACUGAUAUGAGAAAUCCUCGAGGGGGGAAUGAACGUGUCUGAUCAGUUGUGACUCUGUCAUGCUCAGACUCUGUGGCUAAGUAUGCUGUCAUGUUUCGUAUGCUAGUGGCACAAAGCGUGUAAAAUGUUACAGCACUGAGGGCAGGCUUUCGGGAGGGGCUCAACUCGGCAUUACAGUCUAGAUUCCUUCGACAUGUGCCAGUGCAUCAAGGCCUAUGCAGUUAAGAAAGAACCAGUUUUCGCCCGAGGAAUGCCAGCAAUGCUUAAGACUAUAGCUAUGUUUUUACUGCACUUAAGCCAGUCACCUUUGGGCCAUCUGUUUUGAGAAACCUGGAGUAAGAAACUGCUAGGGUGAGCCUGAACCUCUGUACCUACAGCCUACUAUUAUCUGCACAGUUGCAAGGUCCUAAUGGAUUUACACUCUCUCAGCCCUCAUGGACUUGGAUUCUGCUGUCAACCUACCACAGCACCAGCUGGAUGACCAAGCUGAAAAACGUGAAUUUCAUAAGCACUCUUUUUUAUUUUUAGGAUGCAUCAUCACCCAGCAAGGGGUGAAAAUGUACAGAAGCAAGGUCCUAGCUGUAAUGAAAUGGCCCAUACCUGCAAGCAUCAAAGAACUGCAAAGAUUCCUGGGUUUUGUGAAUUUUUACAGAUGCUUUAUCUGUAAGUGUCUUCGAGGAGUUGAGGCAGAAGUUCACCACAGCCACCAUUUUGCAACACCCUAGACCCCAACUUUCCUAUUGUCAUGGAAGUAGACGCUUUCAACUGUGGCAUAGUCGGCAUGCUCUCACAAAGGCAUGGUGCUUCAGGCGUUUUUCACCUGUGCCUACUUCUUGAGAAAAUUUUCACUGUAAAUCUAGACCACAGGGGAAAGCAAUUACAAUGUGAGGAAAUGUGAACUCUUAUCUAUGAAAGGCAUUAGAAUAUUGGAGGCAUUGUUGGUGGGGGCCAAACACCCAUUCCAGUUCUACAAAAACAUGGGAUACAUUCAAAACAGCAACAGACUCCACCCCUGUCAAGCCUGGCACACCCUUUUCUUUACCCAACUGUUUACCUUGACUUGCUGCCCUGGCACCAAGAACCGUAAAGCAGAUACACUUUUCUGCCACCUGCCACCCUCUAUCACCAUUGUGCUCAUCCAGUGGGAUAUAAUAGAGGAAAUCCAACAUGGCCAGGCCAAUGUACCCAUGACCAGGGAGUGCCUGCCUACUAAACUGUAUGUCCCCCAGGGUCAUCCAGUCGGUGCAGACAGCACCAAACUCGGGGCAUCCCGUGACUCACGGCACCACCAAGCUGGUCCAAAACUCGGACCCCAUUCACUACACAUAUCAGAGACUAUGUCAAAGCGUGUGCCAUCAUGUGACCAAGUCAGAGAGUCCCGCCAGCUACCCUAUGUUCUGUUUGAACCCCUUAACAUGCCUGCUGUACCUGGUCUCAAAUUGCGAAAGGUAAUGGUAGACAAAUGGUUCACCCAAUGCUGAGAAACGUGAGAAAGUGCCCACGUACACCUCCAGUCAGCAUUCCAACGGAGGGAACUGCAAUGAGGACCCUGAACCACACCCCAUGCCACCACUGGAGGUCAACGAGGCUCUAGCAUAGGAGCUCUCACAUUAUUCUGGAUUCCAGAGUUGACAUGCUGGGUGAAGCCUGAUGACAUCUUAGACUAUCUCACAGAGGAAUUUCACAGAACCCACCCUGAUUGAUAUGCACCCAGACCCUGGGGAGACCGUAAAGUUUAGGAACACCGGGAGGUGUUCCUAGGAAGGCCUGUGACCUGGGCAAGAAGCCACUCCAGCCUCAGCCAUCCCAGCCUCAGCAAUCAUAUGUGAUCUUGUGAGCUGGAGGAUGAGGUAUGUCAUGGUAUGAAGACUACAAAUUGAGACGCCAGUUUCACACCUUUGAUCUGACAGGAACCAGUGUGUGGUGUCUUCCUGUCCCAGAGUGCCAGUCACUAGGCAACUUCUGUACACUGGGAACUGCUGCUAUUGGUGUUCCUGAACUGUGUGAACAGCAAUGACAAAGAAAGAGAGAGAGAAAGAGAUCCUUGAAGUUUUGGGCCUUUCAUAUAUAGAAUGGAUUAAUGAGUGGAUUGUCGAAUUGUGCUCCUAAAGAAUGUCUCUUGCUUUUUAGUUAACUGGUAAAUUUAUUGUUACCUACCACAUACAAACAUAAUACAAAUUAUUAUAGAAGUAAAGCAAGUCCAUAGCACUAUUUCACAACCACUGCUAAUACCUUAUCCAUUUGUAUAUUAUAUUAUAAACUAAUAUGACCUCCACUUCAUGGCUGUAUAGCUUAGCCCUAAUUUGUAAAAGAGCACCUGUCCUGAUUGAGCCACUGAUUGUCAGUCACUAUUCUGUGCUCUGGUUGCUUGUCUCUUCUUAUUUCCUUCGUAUUCCACUAUGAUCCUUAAGUAUCUUAGAUUAAAUUGCCUGGCACUGAGCUUGGUUUCAGGGGUGACUGGUUUGGAUUGCUGAAUUUUUUAUUUAUUUAUUUUGCCAUGGAGUUUAUGAAAAUCAUACUAAACAUUAACAGAUUGCAAGUUGCUGUGCCUGGUGUAGUCAGUUUUAAAUGCCAAUUUCUAGUAAACAAAUGGGAUAUCUGUCCUUAUCAUUCAAUUUGCAAAUUGUCCUUUUAUGGAAGAUUUAUUUUGAUAGCAUAGUAAUUUAAAUGUAUGUGAAUGAAAAUAAGAUAUGCCAAACCAUA
This is a long non-coding RNA of Tachysurus fulvidraco (yellow catfish), 2782 nucleotides long. RefSeq lists it as uncharacterized. The transcript has 3 exons. NCBI's taxonomy places the organism in Eukaryota, Metazoa, Chordata, Actinopteri, Siluriformes, Bagridae. The record is from RefSeq and is a predicted model, not a curated record.